CCUACGGGCGGCUGCAGUGAGGAAUAUUGGUCAAUGGGCGCGAGCCUGAACCAGCCAAGUAGCGUGAAGGAUGACUGCCCUACGGGUUGUAAACUUCUUUUAUAAAGGAAUAAAGUCAGGCACGUGUGCCUUUUUGUAAGUACUUUAUGAAUAAGGAUCGGCUAACUCCGUGCCAGCAGCCGCGGUAAUACGGAGGAUCCGAGCGUUAUCCGGAUUUAUUGGGUUUAAAGGGAGCGUAGAUGGGUUGUUAAGUUAGUGGUGAAAGUUUGCGGCUCAACCGUAAAAUUGCAAUUGAUACUGGCAGCCUUGAGUACAGUUGAGGUAGGCGGAAUGCGUGGUGUAGCGGUGAAAUGCUUAGAUAUCACGAAGAACACCGAUUGCGAAGGCAGCUUACUAAACUGCCACUGACAUUGAGGCUCGAAAGUGUGGGUAUCAAACAGGAUUAGAUACCCUGGUAGUC
RNAcentral lists this ribosomal RNA (460 nucleotides) under uncultured bacterium. RNAcentral describes it as "partial 16S ribosomal RNA". It matches the Rfam family "Bacterial small subunit ribosomal RNA", at positions 338 to 795 of the family's 1533-position model. The record is from RNAcentral.